Molecule: ribosomal RNA, 500 nt
Filed under: uncultured bacterium
Lineage: Bacteria
Description: partial 16S ribosomal RNA
Rfam family: Bacterial small subunit ribosomal RNA
Source: RNAcentral
AUUGAACGCUGGCGGCAGGCCUAACCCAUGCAAGUCGAGCGGAUGAUGGUAGCUUGCUACCUGAUUCAGCGGCGGACGGGUGAGUAAUGCCGAGGAAUCUGCCUGGUAGUGGGGGACAACGUUUCGAAAGGAACGCUAAUACCGCAUACGUCCUACGGGAGAAAGUGGGGGAUCUUCGGACCUCACGCUAUCAGAUGAGCCUAGGUACGAUUAGCUAGUUGGUGAGGUAAAGGCUCACCAAGGCGACGAUCGUUAACUGGUCUGAGAGGAUGAUCAGUCACACUGGAACUGAGACACGGUCCAGACUCCUACGGGAGGCAGCAGUGGGGAAUAUUGGACAAUGGGCGAAAGCCUGAUCCAGCCAUGCCGCGUGUGUGAAGAAGGUCUUCGGAUUGUAAAGCACUUUAAGUUGGGAGGAAGGGCAGUAAGUUAAUACCUUGCUGUUUUGACGUUACCGACAGAAUAAGCACCGGCUAACUUCGUGCCAGCAGCCGCGGUAA